This is a non-coding RNA of Clarias gariepinus (North African catfish), 406 nucleotides long. The record is from the annotation of a RefSeq genome assembly. Lineage: Eukaryota; Metazoa; Chordata; Actinopteri; Siluriformes; Clariidae.
CUGUAAUACAUAACACUCCCAUACACAUAAUUCUGUGCGGAGACAAUCUUCUUGUUUGAGAAUGUUAUUAGGAUACAGUAUUGCCUUUGUGCUAAUUUCAUAUUCUUAUGGACAGUCCCUGACCUCCUCUGCUUCUGUGGUGAAGAGACCUGGAGAGUCAGUCACUCUGUCCUGCACCGUGUCUGGACUCUCACUCAGCUGGUUGUACUGGAUUCGUCAAAAACCAGAACAAGGACUGGAGUGGAUCGGGCGCAUUGAUGGUGGCACUGGCACUAUAUUCGCUCAGUCUCUGCAGGGACAGUUCUCCAUCACUAAAGACACCAAUAAAAACAUGGUGUAUCUAGAAGUAAAGAGUCUGAAAACUGAAGACACGGCUGUUCAUUACUGUGCACGAGAGUCACAAUGA